UUGUGGUUAAAAAGCUCGUAGUUGGAUCUCAACAGCCUUGAAGCGGUUAACUUUGUAGUUUUACUGCUUUAUAGGCUGUGCUUUUGCUGGAGGUUUAGGGGUGCUCUUGAUCGAGUGUCUCUGGAUGCCAGCAGGUUUACUUUGAAAAAAUUAGAGUGCUCAAAGCAGGCUAAAAUGCCUGAAUAUUCGUGCUUGGAAUAAUAGAAUAGGAUGUCGAUCCUAUUUUGUUGGUUUUCGGGACUCGACAUAAUGAUAAAUAGGGACAGUCGGGGGCAUUUGUAUUCAAACGACAGAGGUGAAAUUCUUGGACCGUUUGAAGACAAACUACUGCGAAAGCAUUUGCCAAGAAUGUUUUCAUUAAUCAAGAACGAAAGUUAGAGGUUCGAAGGCGAUUAGAUACCGCCCUAGUUCUAACCAUAAACGAUGCCAGCUAGCGAUCUGCCUGCGUUUUUACUGUAGACUGGGCAGGAAGCUUCCGGGAAACCAAAGCAUUUGGGUUCCAGGGGAAGUAUGGUUGCAAAGCUGAAACUUAAAGGAAUUGACGGAAGGGCACCACCAG
RNAcentral lists this ribosomal RNA (559 nucleotides) under uncultured marine eukaryote. RNAcentral describes it as "SSU rRNA". It matches the Rfam family "Eukaryotic small subunit ribosomal RNA", at positions 613 to 1173 of the family's 1831-position model. The record is from RNAcentral.